Molecule: transfer RNA, 69 nt
Filed under: Escherichia albertii
Lineage: Bacteria; Pseudomonadati; Pseudomonadota; Gammaproteobacteria; Enterobacterales; Enterobacteriaceae
Rfam family: tRNA
About the family: Transfer RNA (tRNA) molecules are approximately 80 nucleotides in length. Their secondary structure includes four short double-helical elements and three loops (D, anti-codon, and T loops).
Source: RNAcentral
CGACUUAGCUCAGUAGGUAGAGCAACUGACUUGUAAUCAGUAGGUCACCAGUUCGAUUCCGGUAGUCAG